GUUCCUUUAAUGGCCUCUGGAACUUCUCUGUCUCAGUUUUCUAUUGCUGUGAUAAAGACCAUGACCAAAAGCAAUGUGGGGAGGAAAGGGUUCAUCUUACAGCUCUCAGGUCACAAUCCAUCACCGAGGGAAGUCAGGAAGGAACAGAAGCAGAAGCCAUGGAAGAAUGCUGCUUACUGGCUUGUUCCUCCUGGCUUAUUCUGUCUGUGUUGUUAAACACCCCAGGACCAUCUCACUAGGGAUGGUUUUGCCCACAGUAGACUGGGCCCUCUCAUCGUAGUCAUCAUUCAAGACAAACCCCCACAGACUUGGUGGUCUGAUGAAGGCAAUCCAUCAGUUGAAAUUCCUUCCUUCUGAAUGACCCUGGUUUAUGUCAAGUUGACAAAAA
This 388-nucleotide long non-coding RNA is filed under the name Rattus norvegicus (Norway rat). RNAcentral describes it as "long non-coding RNA NONRATT019493". Lineage: Eukaryota; Metazoa; Chordata; Mammalia; Rodentia; Muridae. The record is from RNAcentral.